GUUUCUGCCCUUAUCCAGAGUAAAAUGGGUCACAACUUUGUCUAAAGGAACACUUCUGCAGCUGUAGUCAAAGGUGUACACAUUGAGUAUUCCACAGAUAUACAUGGUUUAAUAUGUGGUAUCCAUGGGGUAUGAUUCUACCACAGCCUUGUAAGUGCUCCAAACCUUAAAGUACCCACAAUUACUACACCUGUGACUGGAACCAAUGAUCCCUUUUAUUCCCCGCCAGGACAAACCAGUAUGUAGGCAGUUUUCUUUGCUUAGACAUGGAAGCAGUUUUACACUGGCCCUUUUGAAGCCACAAUGUACCAAAAGUACUAUGCCAAACACUUAUAACUUGUAUAAAAAUUCCACAUCCCC
Molecule: long non-coding RNA, 360 nt
Filed under: Homo sapiens (human)
Lineage: Eukaryota; Metazoa; Chordata; Mammalia; Primates; Hominidae
Description: lncAB559.1
Source: RNAcentral